This 520-nucleotide long non-coding RNA is filed under the name Monodelphis domestica (gray short-tailed opossum). RNAcentral's name for it is "lncRNA (ENSMODG00000037848.1)". Lineage: Eukaryota; Metazoa; Chordata; Mammalia; Didelphimorphia; Didelphidae. The record is from RNAcentral.
CCUCCUUAUUGACAUCCUCUCCUCCCUUGGCUUCUGAGACACUCUAUUCUGGUUUUCCAUGGGCUUGGCCACCUGGCUCAUUAUGCCUCUGAGGAAGGAGGUGGAGAGUUGGGUGAGUGCCUGAAGGAAAAGCCCAUCUAGACAGAGGAGCAGCCAGCUGAGUGCCACAGUCUAGGAAGGAGAGUGAGGAACUGGAAACUGUUCAGAAGAAAGAAAACAGAAUACUGAAUCUUCAAAUCCAUUCCAUGAUUAGGGCAGAGAGAGAUUGCAGGUGACUGAGAAAUUGAAGAAUAAAGUCGCAUUCCAGAGAUGUCAAAUUGAUUGCCCUCGAUUGCCUCAGUUUCCCCAUGUAUUAAAAAAGGACCUGGAGAAGGAAAUGGCAAACUAUUCCAAUAUCUUGGCCAGGAAAACCCUUUGAAGAGUCAGACACAAAUGAAAAGUGACUGAAUAACAGCAAUAACACAUAACCCCAAAGACUGAACUAAUGGCAGGAUCUUAAGACAUGGAGCCAAGCUACUGG